Molecule: non-coding RNA, 23 nt
Filed under: Drosophila melanogaster (fruit fly)
Lineage: Eukaryota; Metazoa; Arthropoda; Insecta; Diptera; Drosophilidae
Source: RNAcentral
GAUCGGCAUCGGAACGAAAACCA